GACGAACGCUGUCGGCGUGCUUAACACAUGCAAGUCGAACGGAAAGGCCCUGCUUUUGUGGGGUGCUCGAGUGGCGAACGGGUGAGUAACACGUGAGUAACCUGCCCUUGACUUUGGGAUAACUUCAGGAAACUGGGGCUAAUACCGGAUAGGAGCUCCUGCUGCAUGGUGGGGGUUGGAAAGUUUCGGCGGUUGGGGAUGGACUCGCGGCUUAUCAGCUUGUUGGUGGGGUAGUGGCUUACCAAGGCUUUGACGGGUAGCCGGCCUGAGAGGGUGACCGGCCACAUUGGGACUGAGAUACGGCCCAGACUCCUACGGGAGGCAGCAGUGGGGAAUAUUGCACAAUGGGCGGAAGCCUGAUGCAGCAACGCCGCGUGCGGGAUGACGGCCUUCGGGUUGUAAACCGCUUUCGCCUGUGACGAAGCGUGAGUGACGGUAAUGGGUAAAGAAGCACCGGCUAACUACGUGCCAGCAGCCGCGGUGAUACGUAGGGUGCGAGCGUUGUCCGGAUUUAUUGGGCGUAAAGGGCUCGUAGGUGGUUGAUCGCGUCGGAAGUGUAAUCUUGGGGCUUAACCCUGAGCGUGCUUUCGAUACGGGUUGACUUGAGGAAGGUAGGGGAGAAUGGAAUUCCUGGUGGAGCGGUGGAAUGCGCAGAUAUCAGGAGGAACACCAGUGGCGAAGGCGGUUCUCUGGGCCUUUCCUGACGCUGAGGAGCGAAAGCGUGGGGAGCGAACAGGCUUAGAUACCCUGGUAGUCCACGCUGUAAACGGUGGGUACUAGGUGUGGGGUCCAUUCCACGGGUUCCGUGCCGUAGCUAACGCUUUAAGUACCCCGCCUGGGGAGUACGGCCGCAAGGCUAAAACUCAAAGGAAUUGACGGGGCCCCGCACAAGCGGCGGAGCAUGCGGAUUAAUUCGAUGCAACGCGUAGAACCUUACCUGGGUUUGACAUGGAUCGGGAGUGCUCAGAGAUGGGUGUGCCUCUUUUGGGGUCGGUUCACAGGUGGUGCAUGGCUGUCGUCAGCUCGUGUCGUGAGAUGUUGGGUUAAGUCCCGCAACGAGCGCAACCCUUGUUCACUGUUGCCAGCACGUUAUGGUGGGGACUCAGUGGAGACCGCCGGGGUCAACUCGGAGGAAGGUGGGGAUGACGUCAAGUCAUCAUGCCCCUUAUGUCCAGGGCUUCACGCAUGCUACAAUGGCUGGUACAGAGAGUGGCGAGCCUGUGAGGGUGAGCGAAUCUCGGAAAGCCGGUCUCAGUUCGGAUUGGGGUCUGCAACUCGACCUCAUGAAGUCGGAGUCGCUAGUGAUCGCAGAUCAGCAACGCUGCGGUGAAUACGUUCCCGGGGCU
This 1346-nucleotide ribosomal RNA is filed under the name uncultured bacterium. RNAcentral's name for it is "partial 16S ribosomal RNA". It matches the Rfam family "Bacterial small subunit ribosomal RNA", at positions 28 to 1381 of the family's 1533-position model. The record is from RNAcentral.